Molecule: non-coding RNA, 4494 nt
Organism: Rattus norvegicus (Norway rat)
Lineage: Eukaryota; Metazoa; Chordata; Mammalia; Rodentia; Muridae
Source: RefSeq, a predicted model, not a curated record
UGAACAGUUGCGCAUGGACAUGCAGUGAGGCACUUCAAGAAAUAUUUAAUCAGUGCCCUUUCCUCAGAGUACAUGAGACAGUCAGUGCUAGCCAGUGCUAGCCAGCUGGCCUCCUGAUACUCUAUGACACAGAGGGAGCCCCGUCCAAGUUCACUUUCCAUCCAUCUAUUUUUGAAUCCUUUUAACACUUUAUGAGAGAGAAAGAGAACAAACAACAGAAGAGGCAGGAGGGCAAGCGGACAGCAUUUAACCCCACAAAACUGCCACAGAGCCCGCAAGCCUGGAGCAAAAUGCAGGCUCUUUAGCCCCUUGUUGUAAGACUUAGAAACACUCUUACCACGUUAUUAGUCUACGAAUUCCACCAUCUGGCGUACUGAGACAUUUACAGACAAGAGCCAGGGAGACAGAAGAAGCUGUGCUGAGAGGGUUAGACAGAAGAAUUCAGGAUUCAAGUGCUGUAGCACUACUGGUGAGGAGAGAGAGGGUAGGGAAGCCCAAAGAACAAGUGAGCCAUUUAAACCGGUUCUGAAAGAGACAGUGUAGAAGACACACAAACAUUCCUAGUUUCUUGCCUUGGCUGGAUAACACGGCUGCAAAAGACUAUCAUCCAGAAACAGUCUACAGCCUACACUUCAAACACAAGUUUGACACGGCAGACAGUCUGGGUAAGAGGCAACCAUCUGGUUAUCUUCAGUUAACCAGAAACUUCCAAGCCUCAUCUCUACUGGGACUGACACGCCGAUGAUGACAUCACGGAAAGGGACACUGUGGUUCCCUGGCCAUGGGAACCCUGGAGGGUUGGGAGGAGUGAGCCCAGGUGGGCAGGACACAGGCCCGCCCAUCCAUCUUCUGGAAGGUAACUGAGCCCUUAAGGGAAGAUGUUCUGCCAACAGAUUCAUAAACUCCACAGGGCUGGAACAAAGCCAAGAAGGUGCCUGGCCCGCCUUGCCUUUAUGGAAGCCGGUGACUAAUCAUAGCAAGCCCUACACAGCUAAGAUGGCAUAACUUCCAGAAAAUAAAUCUGCAAAGUAAUACAGGACACAGAGUUCCCAGCAUUGGAGUGGGCGACUCUAACACUGAGCGUUGUAGAAUGCAUUUCCUAUGUCAGCUAUUCGUCUGACUCCCUGAAGACAGUGCAGGAAAUGUAAAGUUGACCGACAGAUCAUGACAUGUGCUGGUGGACAUAGCACAGGAUGCUCAACCUUACUAUAAAGCUCCCCUUAUAAACUCCCUGAGGGCGGUGUGCUGCACACUGGUCUACGUACAAGUGCACAAUGAAGUUGUGCUAAACAGAUUCUUCUUUACCUCCCCUGUGUUCUUUAGCCAUGCAGUGCUGGGAAAUAGAUCCUGGGCCUUGGACAUACCAGGCAAGUGUUUCCACCCCUGAAAUACAACCCCGGCCCGGCCCUUGCUUUUUUUGUGUUCACAAAACCGAGAGGCACUGGAGGGUUAGCCUUUAGGCUAAGCCACUGAUGGUGGAAGACAGUGUACUUAAUGUUUCGACUGGAUGCCGGCUGCGCUCCAGUGUGAGUAUAGCAGCAGUAUCCAUACUUGAGAUGGCUGCAAAGGAAGUGCUGAUACCACAGACAGCGUAUCAUAAACUCAGAAAGCUCUCACAUGGGAAAACUCUGACAAGCCAUUAAACAGACAAACAACCUUCAGGAAGCCAGGCCUACCCACAGUGCCUGCCUCUAACCAGGGCCUGCGUGUACAGAGCUGAAAGUCAGGAGAUAAGUCAUGGCAGGAGGCAGAAAGGCUUAAUGGUGCUGCUCAACAACAACAAGACAGAUGAGCGGCAAGCUGCAGACCAGGGAGACAGGUCUACAGAGGGAAGAUACUAUCUCAUUCCCUUGUGUGUUCUGGGCAACCUUCAGAAGGUCAGGGGCUUGAACCAUCCAGUGGUCUUUUGAGCAAUGGUACCUCCUACAGGAAGAUGGCUCCAUUCCGUGUAAGUGGCUCCUCCUUAUAAAGCACCCUUCAUACGCCACUGGAAUGAUAGGAUCUAUUCCUUUUAUUAAAAAUAGCAAAGUAUAGUGAGGAGAAUUUUUAAAAAGGUGGAAAACCACCUAGGAGCAACAACCAAAGCAAAAUCAAGCCUACACUAAACUGAAUAGUUGUAGAGGACUGUCUGCCAUGAGAUCACUAUCAAGGCCUAAUCCCUCUUCACUUCCAAGAGCAGAUGAGAAGGUACCUAUUCAGGGUGUGUGUGUGUGUGUGUGUGUGUGUGUGUGUGUGUGUGUGUGUGUGUGCAUGUACGUGUGCAUGUACGUGUGCAUGUGUAUGUGUGUUUGUGUGUGUGUGCAUGUACGUGUGCAUGUGUGUGUGUGUGUGUGUGUGUGUGUGUGUUUGUGUGCGUGUGUUGUGAUUACUGUCCUCAGACCCUUGGGCUAUGGAUUUAUGGUUUGGUCACAAAUAGCUGAUGUUAACCUGUCGCAGUACGGUCACUCGCUCGAACUCUGAAAGUCUCAGCUUUAGAAAGUUAGUGAGGUAAAUACCAGAGACGCUCAUGGGAAUCUUACGCUCUCAACAGUUUCUGGAAAAUAAGCCUAGACUUUCUCCUACCUGUUCCAGGCUAAGUGGAUUCCUUCUUUUAGAACCUUUCCACGUGUAUAUCGAACCUAGAGCACAGCAGACCUGCUUCCAACACCCACAGAGACCAGCCUCAUCCCAUUCUCUUGUUCUCAUUGAGCCCCGACUCUCCUACUAAGAUUCUCCUCCUUAAAAAGCUAUCCCAGAGAGGAUCAGAGUCUGAAUGCUACUCCCUAAUCCAGCUGGAAGGCACAAGUUUGGGCUGCCAACGAGUCUCCACCCCAUCUGCGUGCACACACCUACCUGGGGCUUGUCAGCCAAAAGGCUGGGAUGCACACUUCUAUAGCCCUUGGCAGCGAGUGGGGAGGGCUGGGCGUUGCCAUUGGCAUCGGCACUGGAAGAAAGUUUCCAUUCAUCUGAGGCAAGAAAAACACAAACAAACCCCAUCACUCACAGGUAACACCCACCGGCUUCCCACUAGUUCAAGGGUCCCUGGUGCCCCCAAGGCCCAGAGGCUAAGAAUGCAAGAAAAGCCAUACCUGCUGAAUGGUCCUCUGGCUCCAGGCCUGUGCAAGGAGCGAGAAAGAUGAGAACAAAGAGGGAAGAACAGAACCGGUUAUGUUUGCGGGAAGCAAGCAUGAGACACACUGACUGAUGAAAAUCAGUGGCCCUCGUCUGACACAAAACUCCCUCAGUCAAGAAGGCCCGAUUACCAUAGGAACCCACUUGAGACCAUGAUGUGUUCACAGGCGCUGACCUUUGAGAACACAAGACCACAUUCACAGGAAUGAAGAAACAAUUGUUCCUUGACAUUCUUACUUUACAGACUGAAAGGCAACAGAGCUCUCCGCUGUCCAGCCCCCACCCCCAAGCCUGCUGUAGGCUCAGAACGGCCAUAGAGGCUGACUGAAGGACGCCUCAGUGGCAGGUUUCUGUUUGGUGGGUUUUGCUUGUUUGUUCUUGGAUCUGAGCGUCUCCAUCACAUGAAACAAAGUACAAAAACAUUCACGACGCGGGCUGGACAGAUAGCUCAGCAGUUAAGGUUUUGCUACACAAUCACGGUGAGCGGAGUUCAGAUCCCAGUACCCACAUAACGAGUCAGGAAUCCCACGAAUGCCUAUGACUCCAGCUCUAAGAGAUCCGAUGCCCUGCCCCCUUCUGGCCUCUGCCAAGGGGAGGCUGGGGGGGGGGGAAUAAGCACACACAAAUUUUAAAUAAAUCUAAUAAAAUCUAAACAAAUCUAAUAAAAAUUUUUGAUAAGAAAAACCCAUACCCGACUUGAUUUCGUAUGACAGAUCAGUCAAAGUGUGCUAAAAAUACAAUAGGCUCCAUGUAUGAAGUUAUGUGAAACACAAAUGAAUCCCCUAUUUAGGGUUGGGCUCCUUCCAUAACAUGCUCCACUAUUUAGAAUGCAAGCACUCCAAAAUCUAAAAGAAACAGAUCUGAAAUACUUCUGGUCUUGAGUGCUUCAAAUAAGACCCAGUGACUCUGUAUGUGACCGUGCAGCACGGCAGGGAACAAGCACAGAUAAUCCAGAAAGGAAAUGGGCUGUGCUUCCAAACACCCUUAUUGAUGGGCACUAAAUUUUGACAGCUUUCAUGUAUCAUGUAAUAUCAUCUUUCUCUGCAUUUUUCUAACAGUCAUUUAAAACACGAAGGCCACUUAGGCAGCAGGCUAGAUUUUGCUCACGGCCAGUUUGGCUACCCCUACUCUAACAGGCCGGAGCGAGGAGGAGGGAGGCAGCCAAGGGAACAUGGUGGUGGACGUUAAGAUUCCUCUCUGCACAUUUACAGGUUGUUAUAACUAUUCUUAAGGGAUGGAUGUGUACAGGAUUUUGUGUUGUCUAGAUGGGCAAAUUAUAUCUUAUCUAGGUGGGCAGUUUAUAUCCUUAUCAAUUGGUUGUGAGUUUAUUUAUUGUGUGGAUACACUGAGAAUUUAACAUGUAAAUCUGAUUGUUGGGUUACA